Molecule: long non-coding RNA, 1365 nt
Organism: Scophthalmus maximus (turbot)
Lineage: Eukaryota; Metazoa; Chordata; Actinopteri; Pleuronectiformes; Scophthalmidae
Exons: 5
Source: RefSeq, a predicted model, not a curated record
CAUGGCUCCGCGAAAGCAGGUUCAUUGUCGGCUUCGUUACACACACCGAUUUACGAGCGAGAGCGCAAACAGUCCAGCGCGGAGUCCCAAAGCGCGAGUUGACUAAGGUGGUGUGUCCACCAGCGGCCAUAAAGUCUCCAUUCAUGGGGGGUCAACAGCACGAAGUUCUCCUGCAGUCGGAACAUGUCCACUACCAAAAGAGGCCGAGCCUCAAAGGCCAUAAACAACUCUCCCUCCGACAUAAUGAUCCGGCAGACUCACAUCAAAUACAGACGUGGAUGAAAGACAGAGGCGAAGCACCUCCACCCCAGCUCCUGUAUGUGCCAUUACAUGCAGCAGAGUUCAUUAAGCUGUGUGUGUGAGGAGAGAUGAAGGCCCCUGUGCUGGGGGAUUUCCCCCUGCGAGCAUACUGUCUGAACACGACCGCCAGUGUCUUUGACUACGGUGCAAAUUCAUGGCUGAGGGCGUAUUUUCACCAGGCCUCAGAUCCCAGAUCCUGUCUUCUUUCCACACACACAUAGAAGUUCCUUCUCUUUCCUAACUCUCUUUUUUUUUUUUACUAGCAUUCUAGUUAAACGGUACAUACAGCGAUUGAAAUAUGCCUUUGAUAAGAAUGAAGAAUUGAUUUAUGGCCGUACUUUUAUCAUCGCUCACUCAUAACCCGCUGCCCCCGAGCACUUUGUCCUGUGGAGAGGUUUUUGGGGAGGAAACCACCUGCUUUGAUUUAUAACCCCCAUGGAUUCAAAGUUGCAGUCUGGACUGCAGUGUGUUAAAUCCCUGACAUCUCUUCUAGGUUCAGUCGCACCGCUGUGCUCUGGCCGGUCCAGACUUUGAGCCUGAUGGUCCAAAUUAUCAUUUAUACAUGAACAGCUUUCUUGGAUCACAAGGAAAAAAAACACUCCAAAGGGUCCAAAUUUGCCAAAGCAUGUGGAGGAAUUCCUCUGGUUUCAUUCAGACAGAUGCAGGUCGACUGGAAGUGACUUCCAGAUUCCUCAAUAAAAAACAACAUUGAGAAAAAGUGACAAUUUGUCAACAGUUGUUUGCAACACCGAGCUACAGAUGGGACUUCCUCCAGUGAAACACGGUGGCAAUAACCCGACAGCGGCUUCCGAUACACUGGGAUCUGCAUUGGAAAUGCAGUUCGUCUCCUAGGGCUACAGGCCCUCCUCCAUUGUUUCACGGCUAUCUUGACACCCACUCACCAGAAUGGAGGCAUACCGCAAUGAACCCUGGGAUCUGCGAUGCUGCCACCGAUAGGCGCAGCAGUGCCACAGAUUCCAUUAAGCUCCAAAUUAAAGCAGGCACAUCAAAGGGCCUGUGAGGAGGCAGCAUGGAGAUGUGACAGGGAGAGGGGGAACAAAAAAU